AUUAGUGGCGAACGGGUGAGUAACACGUGGGCAAUCUGCCCUGCACUCUGGGAUAAGCCCGGGAAACUGGGUCUAAUACCGGAUACGACACUCCGAGGCAUCUUGGGGUGUGGAAAGUUCCGGCGGUGCAGGAUGAGCCCGCGGCCUAUCAGCUUGUUGGUGGGGUAAUGGCCUACCAAGGCGACGACGGGUAGCCGGCCUGAGAGGGUGACCGGCCACACUGGGACUGAGACACGGCCCAGACUCCUACGGGAGGCAGCAGUGGGGAAUAUUGCACAAUGGGCGAAAGCCUGAUGCAGCGACGCCGCGUGAGGGAUGACGGCCUUCGGGUUGUAAACCUCUUUCAGCAGGGAAGAAGCGAAAGUGACGGUACCUGCAGAAGAAGCACCGGCUAACUACGUGCCAGCAGCCGCGGUAAUACGUAGGGUGCGAGCGUUGUCCGGAAUUAUUGGGCGUAAAGAGCUCGUAGGCGGUUUGUCGCGUCGAUUGUGAAAGCCCGGGGCUUAACCCUGGGUCUGCAGUCGAUACGGGCAGGCUAGAGUUCGGCAGGGGAGACUGGAAUUCCUGGUGUAGCGGUGAAAUGCGCAGAUAUCAGGAGGAACACCG
Molecule: ribosomal RNA, 606 nt
Filed under: Streptomyces sp. J379
Lineage: Bacteria; Bacillati; Actinomycetota; Actinomycetes; Kitasatosporales; Streptomycetaceae
Description: bacterial SSU rRNA
Rfam family: Bacterial small subunit ribosomal RNA
Source: RNAcentral